UUUAAAAGAUGACCUUUGGGACAAAGACUUGUCUUUGUGCCAUCAAAUAGAAAACACCCGAUUCUCUGAGCUACACCUGCAGAACCUCGGGCCUUUCUGCACCUGCCCAGCUCUGCAGAGUAGACGGCAGUUCCUGGCAGCUUACCAGGGCCACCGGAAGGGCUGGCUAAAACCCAGAUGGAAUUUCUGCCCCAGCAGCUCUGGUGGGAAGAAGGACUGGCUCUGCUGUUGAUCCCAGG
RNAcentral lists this long non-coding RNA (239 nucleotides) under Ictidomys tridecemlineatus (thirteen-lined ground squirrel). RNAcentral describes it as "lncRNA (ENSSTOG00000029583.1)". The record is from RNAcentral. Lineage: Eukaryota; Metazoa; Chordata; Mammalia; Rodentia; Sciuridae.